AUCUAUAUAUAUUUUUACUAUUGUUUUACUUUUUCUUAUAAGUGUUAAUUGGGCUCUGCCUGCAUGUAAAAUAAAUAAAUAUACACGUUACUGUUGGAAACAGGGUUAAACUAUGUGUUUGCAGCCAUAUGACUUAGUUUCAGGUUUCUUAUGAGCCAAAAAGUUUCGGAGUUGACACUGGGUGUUGGUCUGCGAGUGGCGCACUGCUGGAAUGAGUUUGGGUAGUUCAACAAGCCUGUGAGUGAAGGACCCAAUAAGUGACUGAGUGCUGAUUCAGCAGAAAGUUUCAAUCUAUCCAGAAUAGUGGGACACAAAUAGGGGCUUAACUAUUUCAAAUUAUACACUUUUUUAUACUCUGAA
Cimex lectularius (bed bug) is the source of this 360-nucleotide long non-coding RNA. RefSeq lists it as uncharacterized. The transcript has 2 exons. The record is from RefSeq and is a predicted model, not a curated record. Lineage: Eukaryota; Metazoa; Arthropoda; Insecta; Hemiptera; Cimicidae.